AAGUUGGACAGUGUCACCUGUAAUCCCAAUUCAUUUGUUCUUGUUUAGGUGACAAUUGUAGGUAAGCAGUUUUGCUAUACUUUGAUAUAAAUUUCUUUUUGACCCCAAAGUUGUCUAGCUACUUUAUUGCUUAAUUGCUGCCUUUUGUGAUUUUGUAUUUUGCACCUUUGCAAAUAGAAUCUUUAUAUGGAACUCUUAACUCAGCUCAACUAAACUAAACUCAACUAAGCCUUUCCCAAG
RNAcentral lists this unclassified non-coding RNA (240 nucleotides) under Hevea brasiliensis (rubber tree). Lineage: Eukaryota; Viridiplantae; Streptophyta; Magnoliopsida; Malpighiales; Euphorbiaceae. The record is from RNAcentral.